RNAcentral lists this ribosomal RNA (479 nucleotides) under uncultured bacterium. Its description in RNAcentral is "partial 16S ribosomal RNA". It matches the Rfam family "Bacterial small subunit ribosomal RNA", at positions 28 to 507 of the family's 1533-position model. The record is from RNAcentral.
GAUGAACGCUAGCGGGAGGCCUAACACAUGCCAGCCGAGCGGUAUUGUUUCUUCGGACAUGAGAGAGCGGCGUACGGGUGCGUAACACGUGUGCAACCUGCCUUUAUCUGGGGGAUAGCCUUUCGAAAGGAAGAUUAAUACUCCAUAAUAUAUUGAACGGCAUCGUUUAAUAUUGAAAGCUCCGGCGGAUAGAGAUGGGCACGCGCAAGAUUAGCUAGUUGGUGAGGUAACGGCUCACCAAGGCGAUGAUCUUUAGGGGGCCUGAGAGGGUGAUCCCCCACACUGGUACUGAGACACGGACCAGACUCCUACGGGAGGCAGCAGUGAGGAAUAUUGGUCAAUGGGUGCAAGCCUGAACCAGCCAUCCCGCGUGAAGGACGACUGCCCUAUGGGUUGUAAACUUCUUUUGGAUAGGGAUAAACCUACCCUCGUGAGGGUAGCUGAAGGUACUAUACGAAUAAGCACCGGCUAACUCCGUG